Non-coding RNA from Pelobates cultripes (western spadefoot toad), 1439 nucleotides. The record is from the annotation of a GenBank genome assembly. NCBI's taxonomy places the organism in Eukaryota, Metazoa, Chordata, Amphibia, Anura, Pelobatidae.
CUGGUGAGUGAGAUCUUAGAUAUCCCCACUGGCCACCGAGCUGCCACUAUGGGCCGGAGGUCAGCAACAUCAGCUGUAAACUAGCUGCCAGAGAAGAUCCCCUGAUCUUCCCUGUCGGCCUUGGUUCAUUGCCAGGUUAGCCUGAUGGCCAGUCCGGGCCUGCACACAGCUUUGAAUAGGCUUGUAGCAGCUGCAGUAUCAGUAUGGUGGCUAUCAGCAUUUUGAGCAGCUUCAUUUAUUAGAUAUGGUGAGUGCAACUGUGGCUGGCUCUGAUGGACAAGACAAUUUCUGGUCUGGAAGGACACGGACUGUGUAUUAGCAAAAGCAGAAGACACUUUGGAUAGGAACAUAUUUUUUUCUUGUUUUUGUGAACUUUUUUUGCAUGUUAUGGUGUCACUUUGGGUCCAAGCAUAUUCCUUUAAAAUCUUAUUUAAAAAUGUUUGUUUCAUAUGGAGUUCUUCUGCAAGGAAGGUCUUCCAGGGACAGAAAGUUGAGAGGGAGGUAGAAUUGGUUGGUUUUCGAGAAUUACUUAAAUACAGAGUAGACAUUUCGGAGAGGCUGAGUUAGUUUGGUGAAUGUACAUACCACCAUUCAGGCCCUGAUUCAAUGUUUUCCAGACAAACACAGCAAUCACAAACACAAAGGUAAGCUAAUUAUAACUAAUUAAAAUCAGGUACUAAUUCAGCCAGGAUGCAGGAAAUUAUUUAUAUAUGCGAUUUCGCAAAGCCCUCUCUACUUCGUGUGAACGGUUAUUUGGCGGGGCAUAGGUCUCAAGCAACAGACAUCAAAUCAAGGCACUUAUAAUGCAAUCUACAUCUGUAAAACAUAUUUUUUAUACAAGUCUCUUGAUUUUGUGCAACUGAAAUCCCUGCCUCUGUAACAUCUGGACAUAUUUAAAUGCUUCCUGGCCAGGCAGACUAGCCGAGCCCAGCUAUUUAAACGCAAUAAGGGCAGAAAAGGUUGAUGACAGAUUUUAUUUUUAUUUACAUAUAUUCACUCUGUGAAUUGACACUGUGUCGCAAAUCAAAACGAAUUUGCAUUUUAUGCGACCUGCUUAGUGGACUAUUUUGAGCAGAUAGUCACAGCUGUUGAAGUUAAAGAACUGCGUUUGCUGCUAUAGGGCAGGGGGACAGAAAUUUUAAGAAGUUUGAAAAACUGGUUUAACUCUUUGGGUACUACACAGCUAGUUAACAAUACACAAAGUAAAACGGUAAAAUCUAUUUCUGUGCCCUAGCAAAAAAAUAAAUAAAAAGUGGGGGCCUACUUCAAAUAAUGCACAUGAUGGUUUUACUGUUAUAAGUUAAAGAAAGUAAAACAAAUGUAUUAAAACAUAUAUUAUUAAAGGGACACAGCAGCUGUGAAUAUAUUUCAAUGCAUAACGAAGAUAAUGCAGUAAAAAGUAUCCAGGAUACCCUUGCCUCUGCUCAGAAUGGCCCACC